CAGGAGGCGGCGGGGGAGGCGGCUACAACUCCGGUUAUGACGGCUACGGAAACUCACACGGCGGAGGGCGCUACCGACCCCACUCCAAUGGAUACGGUCACGGUGCAGGCGGGUAUACAACCUACGGCGACCCGCACGGUAAUCAGUGGGUGCCCCCCCACUCCACCCCCACAUUUAAUAACAGCUUGUCCGCCCUGUGGGAAAGGCCAGUGUAGGCCUGUGUUACUGGCUCAACCCAAAGGCGCCCAUUGUAGUGAUGUAUGUCUGUAAGGAAGCUUCUGAGCAAAGGGUCCCCCCUUCAGGGGGGGGAUCAGGUCCGUGGGGCUCAGAGGGGGCUGGUUCUCAGGCUGGCAGGU
Molecule: long non-coding RNA, 356 nt
Organism: Hipposideros armiger (great roundleaf bat)
Lineage: Eukaryota; Metazoa; Chordata; Mammalia; Chiroptera; Hipposideridae
Exons: 3
Source: RefSeq, a predicted model, not a curated record